AAGAAAAAAACCUAGAAAGCUAAGAGAAGACAGCAUAACUGCCAUUUUUCGACUGAACCAAACGGCUCCACCCCAAACGACCAGAAUCUCCUCCUCCUUCUUCGACUCGGAACAGAAGCCCUCAACGACAAUCACCCUCAGCCGCUAACACCAAACUACCACCUGAACUUCACUCCUUCACUCACCCUCGUCCAGAACACCACAACCAGUGACCACCCGUUCUCCUCCACCCGUUCUCCUCCAGCCGUCGCGCCACCCAUAUCUGCCGCCGCCGGAACUCCAUAACCACCCUCCAGUCGUUCUUCAUUUCUUCAACAGAAGCCACCAGCAAAAACGACCCUCAACACACCCUCAUCGCCGGAAACCUAUCGGAACUCCAAAACCAUCAGCUGACAUCAACGUCUCCUCUCAAAAACCAACCAGCAGAACAAACAGUAAUGGAAAAGAGAUGAGGAAGACGGACGGCGCAGCGACAGUAACGAGAGGGAGAGAUGAGUGAGGAAAUAGCCUAUGUUUUUGAGAGAUUUCCUCUCUAUUUUCUUGAAGUUUUCACAAAAACAUAUGUAAUAGAGAGCAUCUCUGUUUGAAUAUUGACUUGUGAUUACAUCAAGAAAAGAUUUAUAUUAAAAGCAUUUCAGUUUCUUCUUUGAAUUUGGCUUCAUCUAAUGGAAUACAUUUGAGUAGCUUAUGC
RNAcentral lists this long non-coding RNA (691 nucleotides) under Nicotiana benthamiana. Its description in RNAcentral is "long non-coding RNA (NBEN_LNC029228)". The record is from RNAcentral. Lineage: Eukaryota; Viridiplantae; Streptophyta; Magnoliopsida; Solanales; Solanaceae.